RNAcentral lists this long non-coding RNA (4795 nucleotides) under Homo sapiens (human). RNAcentral describes it as "HSALNT0206278". Lineage: Eukaryota; Metazoa; Chordata; Mammalia; Primates; Hominidae. The record is from RNAcentral.
GACAGGGAGUGAGUCUCAGGAGAUCUGAUAGUUUUAUAAGCAUCUGGCCUUUCUCUUGCUUGCACUCCAUCUCUCCUGCUUUUCUUCUGUUAUGAUUCUAAGUUUCCCGAGGCCUCUCCAGCACUGCAGAACUAUAUCCAUUCACUGGCACCUGCUGCUUGAAGACAUGAAGAAAGAGACCAUCUUCAGUGGGCCAAGGCGGGAGAUCAUUCUGCAGCUUUAUAGGAAUGCUAUUCUGGAUAAUGACUGGAACAUUUCAAACACAGUAGGUCCAAAUGAAGAUGCCGUGGAAGUAAGAGAUAAGCAGUAGAAUAUAUGUUGAGAAUAUCAUCUUGUGAGUGCUUUAAGCAGAGAAUAUGUUACACUAAAAUGUUCUUAUUACUAUUGCUAUACAUUUGUCUCUGUAAAUUUGAUUUAUCAAUGAAAAGGCCUAUUUAUCAGACAGUAAUACAAUGUAAAUGUAACAAUUAAAUUACAUAAUGGAAGUAUUUCCCAGGAGAAAUAUUUUGGCUUCGUUUACGGAAAAAAAAACCCAACUUAUAUAAGUUAAAAAUAUAAGCUAAUGGGAAAGCUGCAUUUGAAAGAACAUUGUGAAUUAUUUCAUAAUUGUACAUGCAUUUGACAGUUACACUAGGCAAAGUAAUAAUAUGGUUCUCUUAAAAGUCAGAACUCUGUCAAAAUCUGUUUCUGGGGAAAUUAUUAGAUUUAAUAGGUAAUUCAUCUGCUUAUAUUUUCACAUUGCUUAGUGAUUUCUAACAUAUCUUGCAAGCAAUCAUACUCAAGGCUUUCUUGGUAUUUUAAUGAAUACAAAUUAUCGCAUUGAAUCUCAAAAAUUAAAUCAAGCAGAAUCCCAUAUUUCACUUGACAUACAGACAGAAAUAUUGAGAAAUCUGAUGUUUGAUCUCCUGUCAUUUCUCUUAAGGGUACCCCUUCCAAAACUCUUUGUUGUUGUUUUCAGCUAUAUGUAAAAACUUUCACAGAAAAAAUAGUUUUUGAACUGUUGAAAAACAUCCAGUUUGUAGUUGUUAAUACUUCUUUCCUGUAUGUGGAAAAACAAACAAACAAACAAAAUGGGUCUGAAUCCAAUUCAUAUGUAAAUUGUGAAUUACUACAUCAGGCAAGUACAUUAACUUUUAAAUUUUUGAUUCAGUACAUUGUUGACUCCGACGUAUUGCUGCGCCCACAAAAUAAUGAAACUACAAUUUAAUUUCUCUUGCCUUGAUAUUUGGCAUGUGUAUAUUAAUUAUCCUCAUUUUUCAGAUUAUGUAACAGAUUUAUUUAUAAGUUUAUUUGUGGAAAGAAGCCAAAUAAAUGUUUAAAAAGCAUUUUCAUCAUAAUUUCUAAUAAUUCAGAAGCCAUUAAACAUAAUACCAAUGCAAUCCAAUUUCCUCAGCAUUAUUCUAAUAUUUGUGUUUAUAACAAAUUAGAGUCACACUUGCAUAAAAUUUUAGAGUUGGAAGGAACCUCGGAGAGCAGUUCAUUAAAUUCCUAGUUUCACUGAGAAAGAGAUUCAGAGAAGUUACAGAGACUUGACCAAAAUUACUGAGAGAGUUAAUUGUAAAGUUCCCACUUGAACCUAUUUUUCCCAAUUUCUGUUCCGGUACCAUUUCCAUUGACACAGAGCAUAUAUCCCAAAUUUCAUGAAUAUACCUGAGAACAUCUCAACAUAAAAGUGGCAAGUAGCAAAAUUGUUAAAAGUUGAAAUUCCAAAACUAUAUAUAAUUUUAUGGAAGAAAACGUUAGAAAUAUUACUUCCCCUUGUCAAAAAAUUUGCUAAUGUAUGAUUUUUGUUUUUUGUAAAUCCUUUACCAGUGUUUAUAUGCAUCACCUAUAAUUUUUUCUUUAUUAUUAAUAUAAAAUAUUUAAUACAUACCAAACCCAAUAUGUUAUGUAUUUUUAUAAAGAAAAAUAACGUAUAAAAACUAAAUCUGUUACAUCACCAAAGAAACUGAAUGUAGUAAUAAUUGGCACUAACUUUUCUACCUCGUCCUCACCCCAUCUCCUGCCUCUCACUCAUAAGUCACUACUAUCUUGGGUCUUGUAUUUAGCUUUCUCUUGUCUUGGUAAAUUAUUUUAUCACAUACAUAUGCAUUGCUAGGAAACAUAUUUGUAAGUUUUAUUUAGUUUUAAGCUUUACAAAAGUAGCCUUAUUCUGCAUGCAGUCCUCUGGGAAUCACUUUCUCUCAACUUCAGGUUUCUAACCUUUAUCUGGGAUGAUCCAUGUAGAUUUAGUCCAUUCAUUUUUACUGUUGCAAACGGUUCUCUUUUUGGUAGUAUAAAGCAAAUAAUUCAUCCCUUCUCUGAGGAAAUAAUGUUUUCUGAAAUAUCUUGAACAUGACUCCUGAAGCACAUCUGCAGACAUUUCUCCAAGUUAUAACUGAUUCAGGACAACCGAGCCUCCAAACUGGGGUUUCGCCCAGGGAGGUUCCUGGCUUCACCUGGGAAAGAAUUCAAGGUCAAGUGCGUGUUGUUAGACAGCAAUCUCUCACUGAGUCGUGAUGCUCCUUUCGGAGCAGGUCUAACUCACAGGCAGUGCUCCCAGAAUCCCCAAAGGAUGGGCUCUUGGCCACUGUACUUAUUUCCACUUAUACCCUCCUUCAAUUACCUGCAAAAUUAAGGGUCAGGCUAAUACAAAUUGAGGCUCAAGUUAUUUAGAACUUUGUAGGGAAAGGGCGGCAAUUUCCAGCUGGUUGCCAUGGAGAGGGGCAGCAAACUCCUAGAUAUUGCCAUAGCACUUGUAAAUUGUCAUGACGCUGGUGGGAGUGUCUUAUGCUAAUGAGCAAUGAGGGCCGCUAGGGAUUGCUUUGGUUACCAUCUGCUGGUUCCUGCAAGUUUCUUCACUUCAUAACUAUGCAUGGAAUUUCUGGGUUGUAUGCUGUACAAAUGCCAAAUUGUUUUCCAAGUUGGUUCUACCAUUAUCUUCCCGCAGAAAUGUAUACGAGUUCCUGUUGAUCCAUAUCUUAUCCAAUAGUUCAUAUUGUUAUGCUCUUUUAUUCCCUUAUUUCACAAGUGUAAAAUGAUUUCUCAUUGUGGUUGUAACCUCCGUUUUUGGAAUUUGUUGACGUUGAACAUACAUGUGUCCUCUUCUGUGAAGUUACUAUUCAAAAUUUCUUUUGAAUAAGUGUCUCUGACUUGAUAAUUUAUAUUUUGUGUUUCAGUACUUGUCUGUUGUGUAUGUUGUGAAUAUCUUCUAGAUUUUGAUUCAUCUUCACUUUUUAAACUCUCCUUUAUUGAACAGAACUUCUAAAUUUAAAGGUAGUUGAGUGUUUCAAUCUGUUAUUUUAAUUAGCACAUUGGGUCUGUUAAGAAAAUACUUUCCUAUUAAAAGGUCAGAAAAAUAUUGUUUUAUUUUCUAAAAGAGGUGUGUGUGUGUCUGUGUGUUGUGAAGCAGAAGUCUGAUAUCAGGUUUUAUGGAUCAAAAAUAUAUAUUAUGUUUUUGUUUGUUUAUGCAUCAAAAAUAUAUAUUUGUUUAUGCAUCAAAAUAUAUAUAUUAUGCAUCAAAAACAUUUUGUUUAUGCAUCAAAAAAAUAUAUUAAUAGUUUAUUAAACAGGUCCCACCAGGCCUGCUUUGUCAUAUAUUGAAACUCCAUAAGUAUGUUCUGAGGCUUCUAUCCUCUCCCUUAAUUUUCAUUGUUUUAUUUUAAAUUUUGAUUAUUUAUGGAUUAUAUCUAAGCCUCCACUUCUUUAGUUUCUUGGCUGGUCUUUCUUUUAUAUACAUUUGAGAUUUAGCUUGACCAGAUCCAUGAAAAAAAAAACUGUUGGUAUUUGGACUUUCAUAGAAUAUAUCUCAACUUUGGGAGAAUUGACAUCUUUGGAACGCUAUUUCUUUCCAACCAAGAGCAUGGUAUUUACUCUGUAUGUUUACGGUCUUUUUAAUGUAGAGUUUCAGCAUUUUUUCCACGUAUGUUUUGUACGCAUUUUGUAAGAUGUAUUUUUAGUUGGUUUGUUGUUUAUAUUGAUAGUGUACAUAAUAGGUUUUUGCUGUUUGUUUCUGACUGCUUUAUUGAGAUGUGAUUGAUGAAAUGUGUUUUUAAACGCAAUUUUAAAAUUUUGGCUUUGGUAUACAUACUAAAAAUAUGCCAAUUUUUUUCCAGUGAGCUUAUACCUGUAUAACAUGCUACUCUCAUAUUAUUGUGAGUAGUCUGCCUGUAAUAUUUCUUUUUAAUUUCAAGGUAGAUAAUAUAAUUAUAGUUACUUCUUCCGAAUUCUUAUGUUUUUAUUCCUUUUUUUCUUUCCCUGCAUUGUUUCCAUGAUCUAGUACAUAGUUGAAGAGAAUCUAAGAAAGCAAGCAUCUUUGUGUUGCUCCUGAUUUUAAAGAUAAUAGCUUCCAAUUAAUCCUUAUUACAAGAUAUGUAUGUUUAUUUUUAUUUGUCCCAAGUACAUAGUACCAUUUAUAUCUAUAGAUUUAUGUUUUAAUGAGAUUUGGAAUAUUUUCAGCCAUCAUAUCUUCAAAUAUUAUCUCUCACUUAUUUUCUCUACUGUCUCUAAUUGUUGUGUAUGUGAUCUUCUCAUUCUAUCUUUAAUACAUUUUUAUGAUUAUUUCAUAUUUUUGUCGUACCUCUUAAUAUUUCACUUUAUCUUAUAUUAUUUACUAGAUUGUAUUUUCCAUUUCUCUGUUUCUUUUCAACUCCGUUUAAUAUAUUGGUAAACUUUAUGUCGACUUUCAAAUUUAAAUAAUUAAAUAUACCUAUAUAAUUAAUGUUAUAUGAUAUAUAUUUAGACAUACAGCCUAGAAGUUUUGUUUUCAAAUUUCUGCAUUUAUCCCUGAUAAUGUGUUACUGCUGAUCAGUCUUUG